AUGACAAUGCUUUCGAUAGUCUGUACUAAAUUACUUUGUACGAAUGCACAUCUCGGCCGUCGGGUAGCUGAUCACCAUUUCAAAGUCUAUAUCCGUGGUUCAAGAAAUGGAAUUUCUAUUCUCGAUUCAGACAAGACACUGAUUUGUUUACGAAACGCUCUUCAUUUUAUAGGAUCUCCCAGUCGUCAAAAAGGUCGUUCCUUCUUUUUAAAGACCAAUCAUUUAUUUAUUUAUGAGAUAACGGAAGAAAUGGCGAGCUAUUUAAGAAGCUAUUUAAGAAAUGUGAAUUCUCAUUGUUUCGAUGAUUCUCAAUGGAAGAUCGGGGCGUUUUUGACCAAUUCUUUUGCAAAUAAAAAAAUUCCGUUCAAGAAAGAAGAAGAUCAAUUUUGGGUUGAACCAACAACCUGA
This 408-nucleotide ribosomal RNA is filed under the name Triticum aestivum (bread wheat). RNAcentral's name for it is "partial small subunit ribosomal RNA". The record is from RNAcentral. Lineage: Eukaryota; Viridiplantae; Streptophyta; Magnoliopsida; Poales; Poaceae.